This is a long non-coding RNA of Pararge aegeria (speckled wood butterfly), 306 nucleotides long. RefSeq lists it as uncharacterized. NCBI's taxonomy places the organism in Eukaryota, Metazoa, Arthropoda, Insecta, Lepidoptera, Nymphalidae. The transcript has 2 exons. The record is from RefSeq and is a predicted model, not a curated record.
AAUUAUUUACUCUAGCGUGCAUCCAUAUUCCAUAUUAACAUGUUUGAACAAUUUACUUUAAUUAUUGUAGUCACCUUUUUCUUGAUUUUCAGCAUUACGUCGGCAGAAAACAGUACUGAUGGGUUUGGGUUUGCAAGGAUGAUGGAUAUGACAAAAAAUUAUUUCUCCAAAGUUUUCCAUCUUUAGAAAAAGGAAAAUCUUUGGAAAUUUAAUUUAUUAUACUUAUAAAAGGUAUCAUUAAAAGUAUAAUGGAGGUUUUAUUGCGUCUGGUAUUUUAUUAAAUGAAAUCUAAACAAUGAUAAUUUU